This 430-nucleotide ribosomal RNA is filed under the name uncultured bacterium. RNAcentral's name for it is "partial 16S ribosomal RNA". It matches the Rfam family "Bacterial small subunit ribosomal RNA", at positions 29 to 506 of the family's 1533-position model. The record is from RNAcentral.
AACGAACGCUGGCGGCAGGCUUAACACAUGCAAGUCGAGCGCCCCGCAAGGGGAGCGGCAGACGGGUGAGUAACGCGUGGGAACGUACCUUUUGGUUCGGAACAACUCCGGGAAACUGGAGCUAAUACCGGAUAAGCCCUAACGGGGAAAGAUUUAUCGCCGAAAGAUCGGCCCGCGUCUGAUUAGCUAGUUGGUGAGGUAACGGCUCACCAAGGCGACGAUCAGUAGCUGGUCUGAGAGGAUGAUCAGCCACACUGGGACUGAGACACGGCCCAGACUCUUAGGGGGGGCAGCAGGGGGGAAUAUUGGACAAGGGGCGAAAGCCUGAUCCAGCCAUGCCGGGUGAGUGAUGAAGGCUUUGGGGUUGAAAAGCUCUUUUUGCCGGGAAGAUAAGGACUGUACCGGAAGAAUAAGCCCCGGCGAACUUCGU